UGGGGAAUUUUGGACAAUGGGGGAAACCCUGAUCCAGCCAUCCCGCGUGUGCGAUGAAGGCCUUCGGGUUGUAAAGCACUUUUGGCAGGAAAGAAACGUCAUGGGUUAAUACCCCGUGAAACUGACGGUACCUGCAGAAUAAGCACCGGCUAACUACGUGCCAGCAGCCGCGGUAAUACGUAGGGUGCAAGCGUUAAUCGGAAUUACUGGGCGUAAAGCGUGCGCAGGCGGUUCGGAAAGAAAGAUGUGAAAUCCCAGAGCUCAACGUUGGAACUGCAUUUUUAACUACCGGGCUAGAGUGUGUCAGAGGGAGGUGGAAUUCCGCGUGUAGCAGUGAAAUGCGUAGAUAUGCGGAGGAACACCGAUGGCGAAGGCAGCCUCCUGGGAUAACACUGACGCUCAUGCACGAAAGCGUGGGGAGCAAACAGG
This 429-nucleotide ribosomal RNA is filed under the name Acidobacteriota bacterium. Its description in RNAcentral is "Acidobacteria bacterium partial 16S ribosomal RNA". It matches the Rfam family "Bacterial small subunit ribosomal RNA", at positions 355 to 776 of the family's 1533-position model. The record is from RNAcentral. Lineage: Bacteria; Pseudomonadati; Acidobacteriota.